RNAcentral lists this long non-coding RNA (2033 nucleotides) under Homo sapiens (human). Its description in RNAcentral is "HSALNT0362700". Lineage: Eukaryota; Metazoa; Chordata; Mammalia; Primates; Hominidae. The record is from RNAcentral.
CUUCCAGGGAAAAGCCCUGCUCAGGCCUGCCCUGUGCACAGGGGCGGCCCCACGAAGACAGAAAGCAGCCCCAAGAGUCUCCCACCACGUCACAGCCCCUUCCCCACAGGCCCUCCCCUAGCACAGUCUGUUCUGGCUCAUAAUCAGUCACCAGGUUGCUGUGGAGGAGGCCUAGGGUAGAGGCUGGGCAGAGGAAUGAGAAUAGUAAUAACAGCUCUCAGCCGGGCGCAGUGGCUCAUGCCUGUAAUCCCAACACUUUGGGAGGCCAAGGCGGGUGGAUCACCUGAGGUCAGGAGUUCAAGACCAGCCUGGCCAACAUGGUGAAACCCCAUCUCUACUAAAAAUGCAAAAAUUAGCCGAGCAUGGUGGUGCAGGCCUGUAAUCCCAGCUACUCAGGAGGCUGAGGCAGGAGAAUCGCUUGAACCCAGGAGGCGGAGGUUGCAGUGAGCCAACAUCGUGCCACUGCACUCCAGCCUGGGUGACAGAGCGAGGCUCGGUCUCAAAAAAAAAAAAAAAAAAAGAUACCAAACUGACUAUAGAGUUCCAUAUACAUUACAGAAAAAAUAGGAAAUGACUACACAAAAAUAUUAACAGUAACUUUCUCUCUAGGUGGUGGGUGUGUGGGAGACCUUUUUUUUUUCACAGUUGUCUAUAUAUUUUUUUAUUUAUGGCUAUGUAUAUUUUUCUAAACUCUCUAAAUUGUAAUACUUUAAAAAUGUACACAAUGGAUUUCAUGUAUAUUCUUUUUUUUUUUUUUUGAGACAGAGUUUCACUCUUGUUGCCCAGGGUGGAGUGCAAUGGCAUGAUCUUGGCACACUGCAACCUCCGCCUCCUGGGUUCAGGUGAUUCUCCAGCCUCAGCCUCCUAAGUAGCUGGGAUUACAGGCGCAUGCCACUACACAUGGCUAAUUUUGUAUUUUUAGUAGAGACAGGGUUUUGCCAUGUUGGUCAGGCUGGUGUUGAACUCCUGACCUCGUGAUCCACCCACCUUCGCCUCCCAAAGUGCUGAGAUUACAGGCGUGAGCCACCGCGCCAGGUCAUAUGUUCUUACCUAAUGCCCACAACAGCCCUGGGAGGUGGGCACAAGUCUCUUUUUUUUUUUUUUUUUUUUGAGACAGAGUCUUGCUCUGUUGCCCAGGCUGGAGUGCAGUGGCGCAAUCUCGGCUGACUGCAACCUCUACCUCCCGGGUUCAAGCAAUUCUCUUGCCUCAGCCUCCUGAGUAGCUGGGACUACAGGCACAUGCCAUCAUGCCCAGCUAAUUUUUAUUUUAGUAGAGAUGAGGUUUCACCAUGUUGGCCAGGAUGGUCUCAAUCUCCUGACCUCAUGAUCCACCUGCCUCAGCCUCCCAAAGUGCUGGGAUUACAGGCAUGAGCCACCGUACCCGGACUUUUUUUUUUUUUUUUGAGAUGGAGUUUCGCUCUGUCACCCAGGCUGCAGUGAAAUGGCAUGAUCUGGGCUCACUGAAAUCUCUGCCUCCCGGGUUCAAGUAAUUCUUCUGCCUCAGCCUCUUGAGUAGCUGGGAUUAUCUUGAGUAGCUAGGAUUAUAGGCAUGCACCACCAAGCCUGGCUAAUUUUUUUAUUUUUAGUAGAGACAGGGUCAUGUUGGUCAGGCUGGUCUCGAACUGCUGAUCUCGUGAUCCACCCACCUUGGCCUCCCAAAGUGCUGGGAUUACAGGCAUGAGCCGCUGGACGAGGAGCCACAAGAGACUUGUGGCGCCCAGCCACAAGUCUCAUUUUUACAGGGCUUGGAAAAGACCUGCCCCAAGGCACGCAGCUAGCAAGAGGUGCAGAGCUGAAGUUGAAUGUGUCUUCUGAAUUUGAUUCCAAGCUUCAGGCACGUUCUUUUUUUUGAGACGGAGUCUCGCUCUGUCGCCCAGGCUGGAGUGCAGUGGUUCAAUCUUGGCUCACUGCAAGCUCUGCCUCCCGGGUUCACGCCAUUCUGCCUCAGCCUCCUGAGUAGCUGGGACUACAGGCGCCCGCCACCACGCCUGGCUAAUCUUUUUUUUGUAUUUUUAGUAGAGACGGGGUUUCAC